CUUGGUGAGAAUAGCUGCGGGGGUACACCUAGAUCCAUUCCGAACCUAGAAGUUAAGCCCGUAAACGCUGAAAGUACUUGGAGGGAAGCCUCCUGGGAGGAUAGGAACUCGCCAAGC
Molecule: ribosomal RNA, 117 nt
Filed under: Fusobacterium sp.
Lineage: Bacteria; Fusobacteriati; Fusobacteriota; Fusobacteriia; Fusobacteriales; Fusobacteriaceae
Source: RNAcentral